GGUAAAAUGACUGAAUUAGAAGUGAUAAACUGUAAAUUUAUAAAUGAGAUUAUUUCUCUUUUACCA
Molecule: transfer RNA, 66 nt
Filed under: Sininocellia chikun
Lineage: Eukaryota; Metazoa; Arthropoda; Insecta; Raphidioptera; Inocelliidae
Description: tRNA-Tyr
Source: RNAcentral